RNAcentral lists this ribosomal RNA (229 nucleotides) under Clostridioides difficile. RNAcentral's name for it is "partial 16S ribosomal RNA". It matches the Rfam family "Bacterial small subunit ribosomal RNA", at positions 1314 to 1533 of the family's 1533-position model. The record is from RNAcentral. Lineage: Bacteria; Bacillati; Bacillota; Clostridia; Peptostreptococcales; Peptostreptococcaceae.
GCCUACAUGAAGCUGGAGUUACUCGUAAUCGCAGAUCAGAAUGCUGCGGUGAAUGCGUUCCCGGGUCUUGUACACACCGCCCGUCACACCACGGGAGUUGGAGACGCCCGAAGCCGAUUAUCUAACCGUUUGGAAGAAGUCGUCGAAGGUGGAAUCAAUAACUGGGGUGAAGUCGUAACAAGGUAGCCGUAUCGGAAGGUGCGGCUGGAUCACCUCCUUUCUAAGGAGA